This 1130-nucleotide unclassified non-coding RNA is filed under the name Polistes dominula (European paper wasp). RNAcentral describes it as "cilia- and flagella-associated protein 69-like, transcript variant X2". The record is from RNAcentral. Lineage: Eukaryota; Metazoa; Arthropoda; Insecta; Hymenoptera; Vespidae.
GACGAGCCUUUCGAAGGAGACGAGUACUCAGACGAUACAAUGUCUUUGAUAAUGAAUAUCUUAUGGAACCUGACGAGAUCUAUUUUACUUUCCAAAGAAGCACCAGCUGGUCUCAAGGACCUUGGUCCUCCAACACAAUGCGCUAUGUGGUAUCAUCCCCUUUCUUUCUUUAUCCUUUUCAUAUAUAUAUAUAUAUAGCAAGGCGAUAAAAUCACAAGUAAAAUCUCUAUCUUGAUUUUAGAGGUCUUUUUUAUGCAUUCAAACAAGUUGACAAAAGUCAGAAUUGUAAAUUGAAUGCAAAACUUCGAAACGAAAUGGCGUUGCUUAUUCUUCUCAUACUUCAAAUUUUUCCACGUUAUAUCAUCAUCAGCAGUGAUUGAUCUCAAUUUUGAAAUGGUGCGCUAACUCGAAUGAAUUUGAACCGAAAUUGACGAUGAAUUGUACCAAAGCAAUAUGUUCCAUGGUUCUUUCUAAGAACCCUGUCAUAUUAAAAUAUUUUCGUGAACAAGAAAUGAUUCUAACACUAUUCAACGAACUAAUUCGAAGUAAAUCAGAGCUUCGACUUUUAUAUGGAAACCAAAAUAUAAGAAUCGUAAGAAAAUUGUUAGAUAAAUGUAUCUAUUAUCGAAAAUACGAUGAUUUCAACAUAGACCAACGCAAUUGGUUCUUUUAUUUGGGGCUCCAUAGUACCAUGUCCAAUACAUGUGAAGAAUUUUGUCGAUAAGGGAACAGUUUACACCAUAAUCGAUGUGAUCGAAGUUACUUCAUAUCCUGUGAGAUGUUUGUUUCUUGGUCUGCUAUCAGAUAUUUGUGAAAAUAUAUUUUGUGGUCAUUAUUUAUGCAUUUGGUGUGGUAUUGACAAAACUAAGGGAUUCAUGUCUUUGUUAACAAAGAUUUGGAGAGAAGAAGAGAAAGAAAUUGGUGUAAAAAUACGACCAGAUGGCACAGUUGAAGAUCCUGAGUUACCUCAGAUGGGUGUCAAACAAUGGUUCGACACUUAUCACAGUAAACUUACGUACAAUGUUAGUCCUGCAUUGAUCGACAUGAUUGGUUCGGUUUGAUCUAAGAUUUAUGCUAUUUGUCAAAUUAUCAAAAGGUAUGGAAAAAAAUACGAGAUAGUUAAAAACCAU